This 403-nucleotide unclassified non-coding RNA is filed under the name soil metagenome. RNAcentral's name for it is "partial contains 5.8S ribosomal RNA, internal transcribed spacer 2, and large subunit ribosomal RNA". The stretch from base 1 to 121 matches the Rfam family "5.8S ribosomal RNA", at positions 35 to 154 of the family's 154-position model. The record is from RNAcentral.
GAUGAAGAACGUAGCGAAAUGCGAUAAGUAAUGUGAAUUGCAGAAUUCAGUGAAUCAUCGAAUCUCUGAACGCACCUUGCGCCCUUUGGCUAUUCCGAAGGGCAUGCCUGUUUGAGUAUCAUGAACACCUCAACUCUUCACGGCUUGCCGUGAUGAGUUUGGACUUUGGGGGUCUUGCUGGCCUACGAGCCAGCUCCUCUCAAAUGUAUUAGCUUGCCGGUGUUUGGUGGCAUCACAGGUGUGAUAACUAUCUACGCUUGUGGUUUUCCACUAGGUAACCUUCAGCAAUGGAGGUUCACCGGAGCUCACAAAUGUCUCUCCUUGCCAAGGACAGAUUUUGACCAUUUGAUCUCAAAUCAGGUAGGACUACCCGCUGAACUUAAGCAUAUCAAUAAGCGGAGGA